GGCAAGGCUAAAACUCAAAGGAAUUGACGGGGGCCCGCACAAGCGGCGGAGCAUGCGGAUUAAUUCGAUGCAACGCGAAGAACCUUACCAAGGCUUGACAUAUACCGGAUCGUUCCAGAGAUGGUUCUUCCCCUUUGGGGUCGGUAUACAGGUGGUGCAUGGUUGUCGUCAGCUCGUGUCGUGAGAUGUUGGGUUAAGUCCCGCAACGAGCGCAACCCUCGUUCCAUGUUGCCAGCACGUGAUGGUGGGGACUCAUGGGAGACUGCCGGGGUCAACUCGGAGGAAGGUGGGGAUGACGUCAAAUCAUCAUGCCCCUUAUGUCUUGGGCUUCACGCAUGCUACAAUGGCCGGUACAAAGGGUUGCGAUACUGUGAGGUGGAGCUAAUCCCAAAAAGCCGGUCUCAGUUCGGAUUGAGGUCUGCAACUCGACCUCAUGAAGUCGGAGUCGCUAGUAAUCGCAGAUCAGCAACG
Molecule: ribosomal RNA, 471 nt
Filed under: Kocuria palustris
Lineage: Bacteria; Bacillati; Actinomycetota; Actinomycetes; Micrococcales; Micrococcaceae
Description: bacterial SSU rRNA
Rfam family: Bacterial small subunit ribosomal RNA
Source: RNAcentral